GACGAACGCUGGCGGCGUGCUUAUCACAUGCAGGUCGAACGGAAAGGCCCUGCUUUUGUGGGGUGCUCGAGUGGCGAACGGGUGAGUAACACGUGAGUAACCUGCCCUUGACUUUGGGAUAACUUCAGGAAACUGGGGCUAAUACCGGAUAGGAGCUCCUGCUGCAUGGUGGGGGUUGGAAAGUUUCGGCGGUUGGGGAUGGACUCGCGGCUUAUCAGCUUGUUGGUGGGGUAGUGGCUUACCAAGGCUUUGACGGGUAGCCGGCCUGAGAGGGUGACCGGCCACAUUGGGACUGAGAUACGGCCCAGACUCCUACGGGAGGCAGCAGUGGGGAAUAUUGCACAAUGGGCGGAAGCCUGAUGCAGCAACGCCGCGUGCGGGAUGACGGCCUUCGGGUUGUAAACCGCUUUCGCCUGUGACGAAGCGUGAGUGACGGUAAUGGGUAAAGAAGCACCGGCUAACUACGUG
RNAcentral lists this ribosomal RNA (468 nucleotides) under uncultured bacterium. Its description in RNAcentral is "partial 16S ribosomal RNA". It matches the Rfam family "Bacterial small subunit ribosomal RNA", at positions 28 to 507 of the family's 1533-position model. The record is from RNAcentral.